This 482-nucleotide ribosomal RNA is filed under the name uncultured bacterium. RNAcentral describes it as "bacterial SSU rRNA". It matches the Rfam family "Bacterial small subunit ribosomal RNA", at positions 28 to 507 of the family's 1533-position model. The record is from RNAcentral.
GACAAACGCUGGCGGCGUGCUUAACACAUGCAAGUCGAACGGGGUACCCGUAAUUGAGGCUUCGGCCAAUUUUAUGGACUACCUAGUGGCGGACGGGUGAGUAACACGUGAGUAACCUGCCCUUGAGUGGGGAAUAACACACCGAAAGGUGUGCUAAUACCGCAUAACAUAUCGGAGCCGCAUGACUCUGAUAUCAAAGAUUUAUUGCUCAAGGAUGGGCUCGCGGCCGAUUAGGUAGUUGGUGAGGUAACGGCUCACCAAGCCGACGAUCGGUAGCCGGACUGAGAGGUUGAACGGCCACAUUGGGACUGAGACACGGCCCAGACUCCUACGGGAGGCAGCAGUGGGGAAUAUUGCACAAUGGGGGAAACCCUGAUGCAGCGACGCCGCGUGAAGGACGAAGGUCUUCGGAUCGUAAACUUCUUUUACCAGGGACGAAGAACGUGACGGUACCUGGAGAAAAAGCCACGGCUAACUACGUG